UACGAAGGGGGCUAGCGUUGCUCGGAAUCACUGGGCGUAAAGCGCACGUAGGCGGAUCUUUAAGUCAGGGGUGAAAUCCCAAGGCUCAACCUUGGAACUGCCUUUGAUACUGGGGAUCUCGAGUCCGGAAGAGGUGAGUGGAACUGCGAGUGUAGAGGUGAAAUUCGUAGAUAUUCGCAAGAACACCAGUGGCGAAGGCGGCUCACUGGUCCGGUACUGACGCUGAGGUGCGAAAGCGUGGGGAGCAAACCGG
This 253-nucleotide ribosomal RNA is filed under the name uncultured bacterium. RNAcentral describes it as "partial 16S ribosomal RNA". It matches the Rfam family "Bacterial small subunit ribosomal RNA", at positions 524 to 776 of the family's 1533-position model. The record is from RNAcentral.